UACGGAGGAUCCAAGCGUUAUCCGGAUUUAUUGGGUUUAAAGGGUGCGUAGGCGGCCUGUUAAGUCAGGGGUGAAAGACGGUAGCUCAACUAUCGCAGUGCCUUUGAUACUGAUGGGCUUGAAUGAACUAGAGGUAGGCGGAAUGAGACAAGUAGCGGUGAAAUGCAUAGAUAUGUCUCAGAACACCGAUUGCGAAGGCAGCUUACUAUGGUUUUAUUGACGCUGAGGCACGAAAGCGUGGGGAUCAAACAGG
RNAcentral lists this ribosomal RNA (253 nucleotides) under uncultured bacterium. RNAcentral's name for it is "partial 16S ribosomal RNA". It matches the Rfam family "Bacterial small subunit ribosomal RNA", at positions 524 to 776 of the family's 1533-position model. The record is from RNAcentral.